Non-coding RNA from Podarcis lilfordi (Lilford's wall lizard), 14981 nucleotides. Lineage: Eukaryota; Metazoa; Chordata; Lepidosauria; Squamata; Lacertidae. The record is from the annotation of a GenBank genome assembly.
CAUAUAGUACUUCCUGUUCCUCUCUCUCUUCCUUUGACCAGAGAUGGAUGCAGACAUGCCUCCACUUGCUCCAGGUGCAUGCCUGAAGCUUGUUAUACAAUGUAAGUCCAGUGGUACCUUGGGUUACAGACAUUUCAGGUUACAGACUCCACUAACCCAGAAAUAGUACCUCAGGUUAAGAACUUUACUUGAGGAUGAGAACAUAAAUUGUGCGAUGGCGCAGUGGCAGCGGGAGGCCCCAUUAGCUAAAGUGGUACCUCAGGUUAAGAACAGUUUCAGGUUAAGAACGGACCUCCGGAACGAAUUAAGUUCUUAACCCAAGGUACCACUGUAUUUUGCCUGCUCAAUUUUUACUGCUGCCUUGUGAACCAAUGCAAGAUUAGAAGUAAGUAAAUUAUAUGUGUGCCUGGUGGGGCCUGUUGUAGCCAUGGGAGCGCCUGCCUGGGCCUGCCAUGGCUGUGGAUAGGCCUGGUGAGGCCCACCAUGGCUCCCAUACAGAUUGGCACCUACAGUGCAGCUAAAGAGGAAAGUGGAGGAAGUAGGCCUGCCACACGUCCAUAUUUUCCUUGACUUGGAUUUCAAAGGUGGAAUUGACGUCGGGGGGGGGGGAGGUUGCAAGAGGCACUUUGUCCUGGAUCAUAGGCAAAUCGUAAAAUUGUGCUGUUCUUGGGUGUGUUUAUUUGUUAUUUGUAAAAAAUAGCUCAACAACUUUCAGGUUUUCCUUUAAAAGGCUCAAUUUGGGGGGUGGCGUGUUCCUAAAAAAAAAGCUCAACUACUUUUGGGGUGUCCUGGUUUUUACUUGAAAUAUGGCAGCCCUAGGAGGAAGAGAGACACCACUAAAUAGUAUUACACAGGCCACACAUUUACUGACAGACUUUAACAUGUGCAUCAACAAAAACCACAGUGGAAGGGAUAGCCUUAGCUUUUCAGUAUGAAAUUCCCUCAAGGAGACUGCCCUAGGUAGCCAGCUGCAAUGUCCCCUGAGGUUGUGGCAAAUCAAAAUGGCGGCUCCACAGAAGCCUCUGGUAUGGUGACAUCCAAUAUGUGUGCUAAGCUGCUGCAUACAAAUGGCUGGCCAUAGGGUGCAUCUGUCACACAGAUGCAGUUUUAAGCAGUUUCUGUGCCACUCUGUUUUCAAGUGAAGUAGACCUGAAUUUUUGUUGUGCUGCCUUCAUAACAACUCCGUAGACAACACACUGCAAGAGUUUUGAGCUCCUGUGCUAUUCCACUAUUCUUAUGAAGUCUGUUAAGUCUUCAUCAGAACUGUCUCUUGCGCUGACCAAGCAUUUUUCAUGCACAAAUCUUCUUAGAAACUGCUAAUAAAUACUGGCCUUUUGGACACACAUGGAUCCUAUAAUUCCGUUGUUUUAAAAACUGAGGCAGUUGAGGAUUUUAACAUCAUUAUCAUGUUUCAUGGUGAAACCGAGAAAAGAGCAAUCUCACUUGAGAAUCAGAACAGGAUGUUGGCUGGUGUUACGAAGAUAAAAUAUUCAAAUAUUUAUGUAAGGAAGUCAAAGGAAAGUAUGUAUGUUUAUGAUGAGUGAUCCCAACCAAACCCAUAUAAACACAAUCUUGGGUGAUUCUGUAGUUACCAGCCUAACAUUUGUAAGCUUUUUUUUACUGAUAUAUAAUUUUGGCUUACAUUAUUUGAACACAAAUUGACAUCAAACUAUUUGUGUGCUAACUGGCACAUCCCUAGGAAAUGUCACAGGCAGCUAAAAUGAUUUCUUUUUAUUGUGUUAUACUAGGGACUGCCACUUCUGCUGGUUCUCUCACCAACCCUCACUCCUUUGUUAUCCCCUUCCUUUCCCCCCCCUUUCCUCCCCUCGCCACCACCACCCACCACCCACAGCUCACCCCAAAUCCCACCUCCUUCCCUCACAACUCUGCCAAACAACUCUUCUCUGCUAAUUUUCAAUGCGACGUUAGGGGAGUGGGCGAACUCUUGGUUGGAGGAUGGAUGGCGGCUAACAGAUUGAGGUUGAAUCCUGAUAAGACAGAAGUACUGUUUUUGGGGGACAGGAGGCGAGCGGGUGUGGAGGACUCCCUGGUCCUAAAUGGGGUAACUGUGCCCCUGAAGGACCAGGUGCGCGGCCUGGGAGUCAUUCUGGACUCACAGCUGUCAGUGGCGGCACAGGUCAAUUCUGUGUCCAAGGCAGUUGUUUAUCAGCUUCAUCUGGUACACAGGCUGAGACCCUACCUGCCCGCAGACUGUCUCGCCAGAGUGGUGCAUGCUCUGGUUAUCUCUCGCUUGGACUACUGCAAUGCGCUCUAUGUGGGGCUACCUUUGAAGGUGACCCGGAAACUACAACUAAUCCAGAAUGCGGCAGCUAGACUGGUGACUGGGAGCGGCUGCCGAGACCAUAUAACACCAGUGUUGAAAGACUUACACUGGCUCCCAGUACGUUUCCGAGCACAAUUCAAAGUGUUGGUGCUGACCUUUAAAGCCCUAAACGGCCUCAGUCCAGUAUACCUAAAGGAGCGUCUCCACCUCCAUCGUUUUGCCCGGACACUGAGGUCCAGCGCCGAGGGACAUCUGCCGGUGUUACAGGGAACCAGGCAGAGGGCCCUGUGAAACGCCCUCCCACCAGAUGUCAAAGAGAAAAAUAACUACCAAACUUUUAGAAGACAUCUGAAGGCAGCCCUGUUUAGGGAAGCUUUUAAUGUUUAAUAGGUUAUUGUAUUUUAGUGUUGUGUUGGAAGCCGCCCAGAGUGGCUGGGGAAACCCAGCCAGAUGGGCGGGUUAAAGGGAUCCCUGACCAUUAGGUCCAGUCGUGGCUGACUCUGGGGUUGCGGCGGUUAUCUCGCUUUAUUGGCCGAGGGAGCCGGUGUACAGCUUCUGGGUCAUGUGGCCAGCAUGACUAAGCCGCUUCUGGCGAACCAGAGCAGCGCACGGAAAUGCCGUUUACCUUCCCGCCAGAGCGGUACCUAUUUCUCUACUUGCACUGUGUGCUUUCGAACUGCUAGGUUGGCAGGAGCAGGGACUGAGAAACGGGAGCUCACCCCGUCGCGGGGAUUCGAACCACCGAUCUUCUGAUCGGCAAGUGGUUUAACCCACAGCGCCACCCGCGUCCCUUUAGAUGGGCGGGUUAUAAAUAAUAAAUUAUUAUAAUGUUAUUAUUAUCCUCUCUGAAGUGACAAUUAACAUGGUGCCUCACAGAGUUCUUCGCCAACCCACUCUCUCAAGUGCAUCCCACCCUCCUUCAAAGACACCUUCCUCAGCAGGUCGCCUGGGCUGCCCCCCACAUGCGCCACUUGCUCACUUGCCUCUUUUCUCUCAUCACACUGCUGUUGGUGUGGCCCACCAACAUUAAAUUGUAGGAAGUUGGCAGCAUACCUAAAGCAAAUGUCUCCGCUAUUGAAGAGUGUGCUAGGGAAUUUAUACACAAGCACAUUUAUCAGCAUCAGUUGGCACGUCUGCCUAUUUUCAUCUGAUGAAAAGCAGAGGGCGUGAUAUUCUCUGCCCCUUUCUUGAACUGCAUGGCACUGCCCUGACAUGUAGGUGUUCUGCAUAUGCAUGGAAGCAUACAAAGGGUUCUGAACUGGCCUUCAGGCACUGGCAUCCAUCACCACAGCAAUUUGAUAUUAAGUGUAAUAGGCUGUUAGCAGACCUUGCAGGUUGGGUGAAUUAGAUUGGAGUAAUCACUUACAGUAUCGCUAUCAAACUUUUAUUUCGGUCACAGACCAACAUAAGAUAAAGCAUAUGGAUAAACUGAACACAUAAGACUUAAAACAGGUAAGGAAUAAAAACUAGCAAUUAAAAGGUGAUUAUGUCAUACAUACUUAAAAAGAUAGAAACAGGCACAGUUAAAAGGUCUUGCAUUUUGGACCUAGUUUGUGGCACAAACCAUCCUUCGACUAAUAUCCAUCAUGGCAGUGUAGAAUCUAGCAACUGAGUAUGUAACAUCUGGGUUUUCAUCUUGAAGUAGCAGGGAGGUAUAAAGUUCUGUGCGACCUGGGAAUUUACGUACUACAGGUAAGAUGAACCUAGCUCGUAUAUCUGUAUAGUAUUGGCGCUAAAAAAAAAAAAAAAGGCAUGUUCUGUUGUUUCAACUUAGUUUCUGGAGUUCAAAGGCUUUAUUCAUGCAGGAACUAUUUAUAGGAUGAGUGGAGCUAAGAAAGAGAAAUAGCAAACAUCUUGUCUGGAGAGAACAGCAAACGAAAAAUGGCUCAGCUUUUAAGGGUGGAGUUAACUUAGACAAAGAAGCUUCAAACAAGGUGACUAGGUCACUAGACAAACAGUGCUCUCAUGUGGUUUAAAGUACCGUAACAAAUGCAUUAACUACUAAUGCCUGAUGGCAGCAUCCCUAUAACACAGGGCUUAAUUUAUAUAACAAAAAUUGAGAGGCCUGAUGGCAGUCACACCAUCUUAUUUGAAAUCCCCAGUGCCAACUGAAUAGAUUGCUUCAAUGGUAUUCUAUAACUAUUUCAGAGGGCACUAAGAUCAUCAUAAUUGAAAGCAAUAUUUUGAAGUAAGACCUGUGGAAGCCUGCAUUCAGGCAUAGCACUGCCAUAGGGCUCGUUUUAUGCUUAGACUUUGAGAUCAACAAGCUACUCUCAAUUAUUUGUUGAUCUGAAUGACUUUAUCUAAUUUGUAGUCAUUAAUGAUCCCUGGUUGCUGCUUCCUGGAAAGUCAUAAUAAACUGCUGGGCACUGUGCUCCUGUUCCAUUUUUUAUAAUUGCCUGCAACUUACUGCAGUUCCCCUGAGCUUCAGUUAGGAAAGGACGGCUAUUCUUGGCUUUGUGCAUCAGAUUGUUUUUCCCCCUGUGUUUUCAUAUUCAUAUCCAUUUUGUUUAAAGAGGAACCAACAUAGGCUUCUCUUAAUCUCAGCUUUUUUGGAUCAGAAAAGCAAUUAAAAAGAACAAAUCUGUUUCUCACGCACAAACACACACACUGUGCUAAUGUGCAGUGUGAAAAUCACAUUCAGCUGUGCAACUGCCGAGGCCUCCAUUUGUAGGAGCUGAAAUAGAUACAAAACACUACAUAUUACAAUGUGCCAUGCAACCCUUUAUAUUUAGAACGUCCUACUGUGUUCAGUGGAGCUACUCCCAAGUGAGUGGACUGUGCCCUCAAUUACUUAUUUUCAUUUCUAACGCUUCCUAUUCAAUGACAUAACUCUAACAAGGUCCAUGCCUCAAAGUAAUCAAUUAAAAUAUGAAUACCAUCAAUAAAAAUAGCAUAGCAACUUUAGCCUGGCCUAGCAAGCCCUGAAAAUAACAUUUUAAGGGGACUGGAGAAUGAAAAAAUUCAGACCUUGGCAAGCAUAUUGUAAAAGUGGGUUCUGGAGUUGGGUGUGGGAAUAAGGACACUUCCUUUACAGGAUCUUAUUUUAAAUAGCAGUACAAAAUAGGACUGAGCUUUUAAAACAAGAAACAUCAUGCCGUUCCAGAUGUUUGCUUAAAAAAAUUAUGCCCUGCUUUUUCACAUGUGUCUCAAAGCAACUUAUAAAGGAAAAAACAAAGCAAAUUAAAACAGAAAAUAACCUGAUGUCUGAAACUUUGCAGGGAGUCUAUAGAUCCACAUUCACUAUGUUGUGUGCAGUUUGAUUCCUUGCAGAAAGCUGGGGAAGAUGUUUGAAUAUACGGUAUUAGUGAGCGGACAGGUUAGCUUGCAUGGCUAGAAUCAUCUGCAUAUGAAAUGACGAUGUUGCAUCAUAGAAAUGGCCCCAACCAGCACUCUGGAAAAUUAAGGAUUACUGUAAUUUCCCAACAAGGCCAUCUCCAUAAUGAAUGCAGGAUUACUAUUUUUUAUGGGGUUUUUUCCCCUUUUCCUGACAGUACAUUUGAUAUGCAUUGCUCUGUCUCAUUAUGUCAGCUGCAGGGUUAGGAAUAAACAAAUUUAUCAAGAUAACCAGAGAGAAUGGGACUGACAAAAGCUGAAUGCAACUGGUGAGGUGCCCUUUUGCAAAGGCAGGGCAGAGAUACAGAAGCAGGGCAGGAUAAAGACAUUGUGCUGCCUGAGGCAAAGGACAAGGUGACCCUUUUCAUUCCCACCAGAGGGACAGCAUCUUCCCCACUCUUGAGGGGAGCAGGCUAGCUCAGGGAGCUAUGGCCCCAUAUAACAUCUAGAAUCUGCAACCUGAGGCAGCUGCCUCACUUUGCCUAAUGGUAGGCCUGGCACUGUUUGGAACCCAAGGAGAACCAGCAGGUAUUGGAUUGUAGAGAAUCCCUACUUCAAGCAACUAUUCAAGCAAAUAAAUCGUAUGUGGUGGAGGAGUUAGCUGCAUGGACAAGCAGUGAUUUGAACUUUUGCAGUUUUACUUCCAGACAUGCAUAUGUCCCACAGCUAAACCCAGUUCUCAAGCUACUAAUCACUUGUGGGUCUCCUCCCUAUGAAAAGAUACCUCUGCAGCCAAGUUAGAAAAGCAAGAAGAUUCACUGAACCCUUUUAUCACCUGUAUAUUUAUGGGACAUAGUUUUUUUUGGAUCAGAUGACAGAGUGUGAAGGAGUGAAUGUAAUUAAUGAGUUGAUAGAUACUGACUGGUGUACAAAAUGAGUUGCUGUAGCAGCACUGAAACAGCCUUCAGGGUCUGAUAUUUCUGGCUUCUUCAUGAAAGCCAAACAACCAGGAAAAAAUGUACUACAUCAUUGUUUCCCAAUUAAGUACUGCAGACCCCGUUUUGUUUUGUUUUGUUUUGUUUUGUUUUUUGUUUUGAAACCAAGUCAUGGACCCACUGCUUUUGAAAAUGUUGCUAUCUCUACAGUAGUUUUUGUUAUGUGAAUGGUGCCACCAUACCCUCUAACAUGUCACAGUGUAAAACCGAGCCAUGUGUUUUCUGGGCUGCAUUCCCAUGUGAGAGUAUGGCACCCAAAAACGUACAUACCUAUCAAUUGUCUUGAACACCCUGUUUUGGGGCACCAUUUUCUCAGUGAGAGCACCCCCCCCAAGAAAAUGGGAAGUCCCAGACAGUUGACAGGUAAGUGCCACAGAUCCCCUUAGUGGGUUAUGUAGACCUCACAAUAGUACCAUUACAGAAGUUGCUGGAAAUAAACUCAGUUGGGGGGGAGAGAGGUGGCUCCCUUUUGGUUCAGAGCCUCUUAUACAGUGGUACCUCGGGUUAAGUACUUAAUUCGUUCCGGAGGUCCGUACUUAACCUGAAACUGUUCUUAACCUGAAGCACCACUUUAGCUAAUGGGGCCUCCCGCUGCUGCUGCGCACUGGAGCACUAUUUCUGUUCGUAUCCUGAAGCAAAGUUCUUAACCCGAGGUACUAUUUCUGGGUAGCGGAGUCUGUAACCUGAAGCAUAUGUAACCUGAAGCGUAUGUAACCCGAGGUACCACUGUAUGUGAAAACGUAGAGCAAUGUAGGGGAGUUAAUUAGAACAAGUUUACCUGCAUAUCCACACUGCAGUGCCCCAGUUCAGACUGUGGCCAGGAUGUGGAACGAAUUAGGCAUGUUCCCUUAAAAGCCUGUUCCCCUUUAAGGUGGAACGGAGACUAUAUCCUAACAGUUCACACACUUGGCUCUUUUUUUUUAGGAGUUAGCAGACACAGAUCUAGGAAGCUGCCUUAUACCCAGUCAGACCACUGGUCCAUCUACCUCAGUAUAGGCUACACUGACUGGCAGAAGCUCUCUGGAGUUUCAGGCAGGGGUUUCACCCAGUCUUAGAGACUGAUCUUGUUGGCAUCUGUGGACAACACAGAUGCUCCACCGUUGACUUACACCCUUUCCCAGAUCCUGAUGUAGGGAUGAGUAGGGGGCUUUGGCCACCCAUUGCAGACCUGCUCUAGACUCCUCUCCCCCCUCCCAACACCUCUUUGCUUGGGAAGCAAAACUUCCAAUAGUGCAAAUGUCAAACGUCAAGUGGGCUGCAGUCCUUUUCAGAGUCGUGCAAGGGGACCAGAGGACUCCAGCAGAGAAUUCUCAACUCAGCCAGAAAGCCAUCGUGCUGAAGCUGAGGUCCAGCGCCGAGGGCCCUCUGGUGGCUCCCUCACUGUAGGUUACAGGGAACCAGGCAGAGGGCCUUCUCGGCGGUGGCGCCCGCCCUGUGGAACACCCUCCCAUCAGAUGUCAAGGAAAGAAACAACUAUCUUCCUUUUACAAGACAUCUGAAGGCAGCCCUGUUUAGGGAAGUUUUUAAUGUUUGAUGUUUUAUUGUAUUUUUAAUAUUUUGUUGGAAGCCACUCAGAGUGGCUGGGGAAACCCAGCCAGAUGGGCGGGGUAUAAAUAAUAAAUUAUUAUUUGACCCAAGCCAUUGAAGUGCUUUUGACAAUAAGCUUGGGUUUGUAGCAUAGCAGGGCUUAGAGCUGUGAAAUCAAUGGAACUACAUUCAGCAUCUGUUUGGGACUAAUGCAUUUUAUCCUUGCAGUCUUUUCUGAGACUCUCUUUAAAAAAAAUAAUAUUUUUAAUUGAAUUUUCAAAUUAUAACAUUCAAUUAAGAUUUGUGGAAAAUUUGUUAAUUUAUAUAUAUAUAUCCCCUCCCCCCUCCUUGGCUUCCCCGUAUUUCUAUAUUGGUUUAUUAAACAAAUUCUAUAUCCUGCUGAUUUUGCCUCUCAUAUAGUUGUGAAAGUUUAGUCAAAACCUGCCACUGAGUCCAAAUCUUUAUACUGUCUUUUUAUAUAGUUUAUAAAUGGUUCCCACUCUUUUUUGAAAUCGAUGUUGUCUCUCUCAUGUAUCCUCUGUCAGCUUAGCCAGUUCCGCUUAGUCCAUAAGCUUAGCUUGCCAUUCUUCCUUUGUUGGUGUUUUCUCUGUUUUCCAUACUUGUAUUAAUAAAAUUCUUGCUGCUGUUGUCACAUACAUAAACAAUCUCCAAUUUCCCUCUCAUAUCAUGAUCUAAAAUUCCAAGCAAGAAAGAUUCUGGUUUUUUAACAAAAGUUUUUUCCAACAUUUUUUUCAAUUCAUUAUAUAUCAUUUCCCAAUAUUCUUUAACCUUCUUGCAUUCCCACCAUACCUUUUCUGAGACUUUCAAGUACUAUGUGUAAAUAACCAGCACAGUCAUUCUGCUCCUCUGAUUUUAUGAUGAUAUGCCCGAGACAUGUAAGUACCACAGCUCACUUUUAGUGCUUCUCUUGUGCAUGCAGAUGAUCUCUAAGUUCAGUUCUUGAAAUCUCCAGGUCAGGUUGGGAAACUCUAUAGUUGGGAACCUUUGACAGCUCCUGCCAGUUUGGCUCCACAAUUCUGGCUUGAUUUAGUCUUAAAACCGCCUCCUAUAUUCCUAGGUAUUUAAUCUGCUUGUUAUCUUCAUGUUAUCCAGAGACUUGGAAUUUUCUUUUAAUGGAUGGCACAUAUAAAACCAAUGAGCCUAUUUAUUGCUCAUAUUGCUUAUUGAAGAAAGUAGACAAAAAAACGAAACAAAAUUAUUUCACAAUAGUUUGUGACAGAUCGUGCAAUGCAGAGACAAAUUGGCUUGCAUCUGUAAUACAAAAUCAAGCAUUUUCUCACUGUUGGUGUAGGAUCUUGCUUUUGCUUUAGCACUGUACCGUAUAUCUCUCAAGGGGCCUGCAGCUUCUUGCUGAGCCAUCAUAUCAGUUGGCUCAGCAACCAGACAGUCACGGCGUCCACUUCCAAGGAAAGCGGUGUAAGCCAUGCUUAUCAACCUUUUCAGCGUGUACUAUGAUAAGAUUAUAAUUCUGAAGAUUCUGAAGGGGAGGACAAUGAACUGCUCAACUAUAACUAGCACGGCAGUGUGUUUGUGUGGAAUUACGGGUGGCUAAUAUAUUGGUAACUGGGUGUGUGUUGUCCAAAUACCUUGCUAACCUUUGCUCACAGUACUUAAUGUUUGCAGUUUGUCAAGGACAAGACGGUUUGCCUGCUUUGUAAAAACCAUGCAUGCAAAUUUCCCAUAGACAUGGUGGGCCACUGUGAGAAUCGGAUGUUGGAUUGGGUGGGAUUGUGGUCUGAUCCAGCAGGGCUUUUAUGUUCCCGGUCCUAAUACUUAAUUGUGGUCACACAAUUUGGUUUAUGAAGAAGCAACAUUCAUCUAGUAUUAAAUCAAGCAACCUCACAUAAGCUUGCUUGGAAGUAAAUCUGGCCAAGAGUAAUGGGACUUAGUUCUGUGUAAUACCUCUAGGGAUGCAGUAUUAAAGAAUACACAGGCUGAACCGUAUCACGUUAACACAGAAAUAAAGCUAUUAAAAUUAUUCCUGUAUCUCCCGCCAUAGUGCUGUUUUGCUGGAUCUGCGGCACUCAUUAAAAUAUUUCACGUCCUUACAUCAGUCUCCCAUAUUUGUUCAUCCAAUCUUCACAAUUGCCACUCUUUGAUUUUAUAUAAUGUUGGCAUUUAAGACCUUUUCACAUUGUUGACCUAUAUUUGUCUGCCAAGGUAUUUCGGUCAGUGGAGCAUCUCAAAAAUGGGGAAAGACUAUUAAUUGUUAGCACCAUGUUUAGGGAAGUUCUUGCUCAUUCCCCUCCUUUACCAUCUUACCCAUGGCUCCCAUGUAGGUAAGUUCAUUCACGUAACAAAAUGUUAGAGCAGCCUAGAGCUACAGCAUUGGCCUGCAUUAAUCAGGCUAUACAACGGGUUCAUUGUUGAUGUGUGUGGUUUUUUAAGGAAUAUAUUUUUCAUGGUCUGUAUUGUAUUACACCAUUUGUUCUAUCCAAGAACAAGAGUGAAGGAAGGCAAAAAUGACCCGACUCUACAUCUAAGGCUGUAAUACUAAGGUCAUCACACUCCUUGGGAAAGGGUCCCUUUUAAAGGAUUUUAACCUUUAAUUCUGCACUAGGAGUUCUAGAACUUUGAUGUCUUCUGCUGAGGGCCAGUCAAGAAAUUUCGGUGCCUGAGGCAGAGCAGCAAAUGGCACUCCUUCCUUGUCAAGCCAGGUGGAUUGUACCCAAGGCUAGUCAAGUUCUUUUGGCAGAAAAGCCCACAAGCACAACCACAAUGAAUAAUGAUGAUGAAUUAAACAGCUAGCACCUUGCUGCCCUUCCAUGACCAUCCAAAUUGGCUGCCUGAGGCGGCUGCCUCACUCUGUUCAAUGAUUGGGCCAGCUCUGUGUCUGAUCCCUUUGGGGUAGGCACCUGUAUGAUGAGAUGAAUGCCAUUGGGAGAAGAUGCAGCUAUCUGCAGUGUGGUGUAGUGGUUAAGAGCGGUAGACUCGUAAUCUGGUGAACCAGGUUCGCGUCUCCGCUCCUCCACAUGCAGCUGCUGGGUGACCUUGGGCCAGUCACACUUCUUUGAAGUCUCUCAGCCCCACUCACCUCAUAGAGUGUUUGUUGUGGGGAAGGAAGGAAAAGGAGAAUGUUAGCUGCUUUGAGACUCCUUCAGGUAGUGAUAAAGCGGGAUAUCAAAUCCAAACUCCUCUUCUUCUUCUGCCCCGCAACACCAGCAGAAAAGAAGGUAACUGAAAGUAUAGAGAUGCAUAGCAACAAGGCCAGUACCACCAGCAGCUGGAACUUCCAGGAGCCUGGGGGGAAAGAGGACUCGUCCUCCCCAGCAAUUUCCCCUUUACUGCUGUUAGUCUCCUUCGGAGAAAUGAUGAGUCUAGGGCUAGAUCUAGAGACACAUCAAUAAAGUGUUUCAGGAAAACUCGUUCUAAACUUCAUAAACGGAAAUCACACUGGCGAAAGAUGGGACUCCACUGUGAUAUAACGCAUAUAAAGCACUUUUUCUUUGCCAGUGUAGUUGAGUCCUAGGUGAUUUCUAGAAUCCUGAGCAGGCUCUGCAGUACAUUUUAGCCAGGCUGCUGGGGCUCUGUGCACCUGGAAUUAUAUUAUCUGUUAACUUUCCUCUUGCUCUGUAUAUAUAUGUAUUUAAGUCUAGAUUAUUUCUUUUGCUAGUGGGAUGCAGGUGGCGCUAUUGUAUAAAUCAAUAAGCCUCUUGGGCUUGCUGAUCAGAAGGUUGGUGGUUUGAAUCCGUGCGAUGGGGUGAGCUCCCGUUUAUCUGUCCCAGCUCCUGCCAACCUAGCAGUUCGAAAGCAUGUCAGUGCAAGUAGGUAGCUAGGUACCACUGUGGCGGGAAGGUAAACAGCGUUUCUGUGUGCUCUGGCUUCUGUCACAGUGUCCCGUUGCACUAUAAGCGGCUUAGUCAUGCUGGCCACAUGACCUGGAAAGCUGUCUGUGGACAAACGCCGCCUCCCUUGGCCUGAAAGCGAGAUGAGCGCCACAACCCCAUAGUCGCCUUUGAAUGGACUUAACCGUCCAGGGGUCCUUUGCCUUUACCUUAUUUCUUUUGCCAUACCAAAUUUAUCAUCUGUUUAGUAACUUGUUGAUUUUUGUCUCAUUUGAAUUUGAUGUUUUGUCAACGGUUUUCUCCCCCCCCCCCACCAAAUGCUGAAUUCUCCUGUGUUAAGAGAACUGUAUAACUCAUCUAUACCUGAUUCAUGUCAGCAAAUAAAUUGUUUUAAGAUGGAGCGCCACCUAGGGGCUGUUGCUGCUAGAGCGACGCUUUUGAAGGCAAAGCAAUUCUGAUGUAUAAGCAAAGGAUGCAUGGGAGAAUUCACAAUUAUCGCGAACUGAUGGCGUUUGGUUUUUCAUUAGGUAGUCCAAGGGAAUAAAUGGGCUAUUGCUUAAAAGUGAUUGGCUUGUUAUUGUGGUCAAUUCAGCGAAAAGUAAUUGCAGGGUUCCUUCCCAAUAAACUUUGCACGUAAGUUGCAAUUUUUUUGGAAAUAUCACAUUCAAUUCACAGUUUGCCCCAAUGCAGAACCCAUGUGCACAGUGAUAUACACAGGAUUUUGGGUGCUCCUGGCUCUCCUCCUUCAAGGGAAUGGAAAAGGUAUGAAUAAAAAUGAAAGAAAAUGAUGAUGAUGUUUAGUACAGGGAAGAAGAGGCAUGAAAGAGGUGCCCAAGAAUUCCAUGUGCACACAUUAUUCUACAUGUGCACUGCCUGUGCAUGCUAUCCAACGAGCUACUUCUCAUUUCCACUGAAGUCUGUCCUUGUCAGGGCUGGACAACAUUUCAAGUUUGCAGGAGACUGCGCUGAGCCUCUCAAAGCCAGCAUUCACAUUUAGGCUGUAUAACACGGAGACACGGGCAAAGGUUACAGUACAGCUUCCCUACAUUGCAACGCCUAUCUGAUUCCUCUUUCCUUUUCAGCCAGGCUGGCCAAACUCAAAUUUCACAUCAAUUCCACAAUAAAAGCAAACCCAGAAACUCAACCUGCUGUGAACCAGCAGUGUGGCUCCUUACCAAGCCACUUAAACAAAGAGCUCCUUUUCAAAAGUCUUCCGCUAUCCAUAAUGCAUGUUACCAUAAAAUGUCCAGGUUGCUAAUUCGCUUGGAUGAAAGCAUCUACCUGGAGGAAAGGCUUAUUUCUGCAAUUGUUCUAGAUCUACAUAAAAUAUGCACAGGGAAGCAAGAUUAUAAAUGCAUAUUCAUACUUUUGUUUCAGGAUUGGUAACCCAAAGGACUUAAUGCUAUAAAAAAUGACCUUUCGGUCUUUUUCACAGUAGCAAUGGCGGUUUGUGAUAUCCCUUUAUUAUAGAAAUUAGAAUUUUUUUAAAAAAAAUCUGUGGCUUCGAGUUCUGUUUAACUCUUUUGUGUCAUCUUUAAAAGGUAUUCGUGAAAUAUCUGAUUUCAGGGAUUAGUGCAGCCUUCAUUACUAUGCAUGAAAAACGAGAUGAAAUACCACGUUUUUGGCAGCUGUUUCCACUGGAUAAGCAUCCACUCACCCAGCUUGAUUUAACAUUUUGUUACUGCAGCUUUAUGUUGCACAUUUGAUUUAGUACCAGCAGAAUUAUGCUGGAAGAAUGGCAAUGGAAAGACAGGGCUAUAGAAGAAAGAAUCUGGCAACUCCUGAUUACUGAUCCUCUUGAAAUCACGGAUUUGGCUGCCUACAAGGGCCCAAAUUAGGGUCUUUCAUCCUAAUCCUUAUCUCCAAAUCAGGAGCAGCUGCUGCAGAGCUCCUAUUUAGUUUAUUUAUUUCAGAAAACCUAUCUCCCGCCCUUCUGAUGCAUUUGCAUCACUCAGGGACGCAUGCAGCAAUAACAAUUCUAAUAUAUACAUAAAUUGAGACAGGCUCAGCAGCCGAAAACAUUCCAAAAUGGGGGUUGGUGUCCGUUUGUGUCACUUUUUCAGUACCCUGCCUUAUCCUUUCCAUAAGGCAGAAAUCUUUUCCCCACUGGCACCACUACUGUGUUGAAAGAACUGUACAAAAGUGCAAAGCAGCUUCUAAAUGCCUGUAGUGUGGAAGCAUAACAGCCCAAGGCUGUUUUACACGGCAGCUGUGUGAAGGAAAUGACAGCAAUGCCCAUAGAGUUGAGGACCAAGAUAUACAGGCGAGGACAACGUGGUAGGGAGCAGCACAUUCCAGGUCCCCUUUCUACCUUCUGUAGUGAAAGGGACCAAUCCGGAGCCUAGCACACCCCAGUUUAUAAUUUCUUCCUCAGUCGUUGGAUCUGAUCUGUGGAAUGCCAGUAGACCUACUAACUCUUUCCUGCUCUAGUGUGCUGCAUCUUUUCCUUCUAUCAGAUAUCUAUCCAUGUAUCAUGAUGAAUGGAAAUCAACUGGAGAAGACCAGACUCUGAAGGGGCGUUGAGGAACCCGAAAGGCUAGCUGCUGCUCCUGCAAAGAAAGGAUAUGUAAGUAAGGCAUCAAUCUUUGGAGGCAACUGCACCAUUAUAAAAUCCCAAAUUUAUAGUAUGAUUGCAACUUUGGAAUGGUUUCAGGCUGCAAGGUUCAGCCUGGGUGAAUCCAGAGGUCAGGUGUCAUUUUCCUAUGAGUAACAAGUAAAGAAGGAAUGGUUAAGACCAUAAGGGUUUGGGGCCAUUGCACUGGAGCAAAAUUGUUUAUUGAGGUUUUCAACUAAGUAUGUACAGAACAGAUAAUGUAAGAAAACAGUAACAUAAACAUGCAUAUGAACUGAAAUAUAAAUUAACAUAAACAUUUCUUUUGCAGGUGGCAACAUGGAAGAUAACCAAAGUGGAUAUUGAUGGAGAGGAGUCCAUUCACAUGAAAAGUAUAUAUUUCAAAAAGCACCUCCGCUAACAGUUAUAGAGGCUCAUAUUUAAUUCCAUGCACAGUGCCACACACCUAUGUAUAGUUGACUGCUAGAAAUGCAUUCUCCCCCCUUAAAUGGACUGCCUUAUUUCUUUAUGUCAUUUACUAA